RNAcentral lists this ribosomal RNA (468 nucleotides) under uncultured bacterium. RNAcentral describes it as "partial 16S ribosomal RNA". It matches the Rfam family "Bacterial small subunit ribosomal RNA", at positions 28 to 507 of the family's 1533-position model. The record is from RNAcentral.
GACGAACGCUGGCGGCGUGCUUAACACAUGCAAGUCGAACGGAAAGGCCCUGCUUUUGUGGGGUGCUCGAGUGGCGAACGGGUGAGUAACACGUGAGUAACCUGCCCUUGACUUUGGGAUAACUUCAGGAAACUGGGGCUAAUACCGGAUCGGAGCUCCUGCUGACUGGUGGGGGUUGGAAAGUUUCGGCGGUUGUGGAUGGACUCGCGGCUUAUCAGCUUGUUGGUGGGGGAGUGGAUUACCCAGGCUUUGACGGGUAGCCGGCCUGGGAGGGUGACCGGCCACAUGGGGACUGAGAUACGGCCCAGACUCCUACGUGGGGCAGCAGUGGGGAAUAUUGCACAAUGGGCGGAAGCCUAAGGCAGCAACGCCGCGGGCGGGAUGACGGCCUUCGGGUUGUAAACCGCUUUCGCCUGUGACGAAGCGUGAGUGACGGUAAUGGGUAAAGAAGCACCGGCUAACUACGUG